AUGAACGCUGGCGGCGUGCCUAAUACAUGCAAGUCGAGCGAACGGACGAGAAGCUUGCUUCUCUGAUGUUAGCGGCGAACGGGUGAGUAACACGUGGAUAACCUACCUAUAAGACUGGGAUAACUUCGGGAAACCGUAGCUAAUACCGGAUAAUAUUUUGAACCGCAUGGUUCAAAAGUGAAAGACGGUCUUGCUGUCACUUAUAGAUGGAUCCGCGCUGCAUUAGCUAGUUGGUAAGGUAACGGCUUACCAAGGCAACGAUGCAUAGCCGACCUGAGAGGGUGAUCGGCCACACUGGAACUGAGACACGGUCCAGACUCCUACGGGAGGCAGCAGUAGGGAAUCUUCCGCAAUGGGCGAAAGCCUGACGGAGCAACGCCGCGUGAGUGAUGAAGGUCUUCGGAUCGUAAAACUCUGUUAUUAGGGAAGAACAUAUGUGUAAGUAACUGUGCACAUCUUGACGGUACCUAAUCAGAAAGCCACGGCUAACUACGUG
This 496-nucleotide ribosomal RNA is filed under the name uncultured bacterium. RNAcentral describes it as "partial 16S ribosomal RNA". It matches the Rfam family "Bacterial small subunit ribosomal RNA", at positions 29 to 507 of the family's 1533-position model. The record is from RNAcentral.